CGUGAGUGAAGAAGGCUUUCGGGUCGUAAAGCUCUGUCAAGUGGGAAAAAAGUCUGAUGAUUAAUAGUUGUCAGAUCUGAUGGUACCACUGGAGGAAGCACCGGCUAACUCCGUGCCAGCAGCCGCGGUAAUACGGAGGGUGCAAGCGUUGUUCGGAAUUACUGGGCGUAAAGGGCGUGCAGGCGGGUUGGUAAGUCAGAUGUGAAAGCCCUGGGCUCAACCCAGGAAGUGCAUUUGAAACUGCCAUCCUAGAGUAUGGGAGAGGAGAGUGGAAUUCCCAAUGUAGAGGUGAAAUUCGUAGAUAUUGGGAGGAACACCCGUGGCGAAGGCGACUCUCUGGACCAAUACUGACGCUGAGACGCGAAAGCGUGGGGAGCAAACAGGAUUAGAUACCCUGGUAGUCCACGCUGUAAACGAUGAGAACUAGGUGUAGCGGGUAUUGACCCCUGCUGUGCCGAAGUUAACGCAUUAA
This 472-nucleotide ribosomal RNA is filed under the name uncultured delta proteobacterium. Its description in RNAcentral is "bacterial SSU rRNA". It matches the Rfam family "Bacterial small subunit ribosomal RNA", at positions 400 to 863 of the family's 1533-position model. The record is from RNAcentral. Lineage: Bacteria; Deltaproteobacteria.